AGCUGGCGCCCGCUUGGAACAGGCGAGUCUCAUCCGGUAAAGCGAAUGAUUAGAGGCCUUGGGGCCGAAACGACCUCAACCUAUUYUCAAACUUUAAAUGGGUGAGAACUCCGGCUUGCUCGAGUGAAGCCGCGAGGCGGAUCAGGGUGCCAAGUGGGCCAUUUUUGGUAAGCAGAACUGGCGCUGUGGGAUGAACCAAACGCCGGGUUAAGGCGCCUAAACCGGAGCUCAUGGGAGACCAUGAAAGGCGUUGGUUGCUUAAGACAGCAGGACGGUGGCCAUGGAAGUCGGAAGCCGCUAAGGAGUGUGUAACAACUCACCUGCCGAAGCAACUAGCCCUGAAAAUGGAUGGCGCUAAAGCUCCGUGCCUAUACCCGGCCGCCGGAAGGCAUAGGCGUGAGCCGCUCUCGGGCGGCGAGCGCGUGAAGCCCCGGCGAGUAGGAGGGCGCGGCGGUGUGCGCGGAAGGGUCUGGGCGUGAGCCUGCCUGGAGCCGCCGCCGGUGCAGAUCUUGGUGGUAGUAGCAAAUACUCAAGCGAGGGCCUUGAGGGCUGAUGUGGAGAAGGGUUUCGUGUGAACAGCCGUUGCACACGAGUCAGUCGAUCCUAAGCCCUAGGAGAAAUCCGAUGUCGAUGUGGGGGACUUUAUUUCCCCCCUCGUUGGGCGAAAGGGAAUCCGGUUCCUAUUCCGGAACCCGGCAGCGGAACCGAAUUACGGGCCCUCGUCAGAGAAGCUCGUCGGGGUAACCCAAAGGGACCCGGAGACGCCGUCGGGAGACCCGGGCAGAGUUUUCUGUUCUGCAUAAGCGUUCGAGUUCCCUGGAAUCCUCUAGCAGGGAGAUAGGGUUUGGAACGCGAAGAGCACCGCAGUUGCGGCGGUGUCCGGGUCGUCCCCUCGGACCUUGAAAAUCCGGGAGAGGGUCACGCGGAGGUGUCGCGCCGGCU
Molecule: ribosomal RNA, 942 nt
Filed under: Pseudacanthops sp. MN219
Lineage: Eukaryota; Metazoa; Arthropoda; Insecta; Mantodea; Acanthopidae
Description: eukaryotic LSU rRNA
Rfam family: Eukaryotic large subunit ribosomal RNA
Source: RNAcentral